GGGUGAUCAGUGGCGAACGGGUGAGUAACACGUGAGCAACCUACCCCUGACUCUGGGAUAACCCCGAGAAAUCGGAGCUAAUACCGGAUACGAGACGUACGGGCAUCUGUAACGUCUGGAAAGAAUUUUGGUCAGGGAUGGGCUCGCGGCCUAUCAGCUAGUUGGUGGGGUAACGGCCCACCAAGGCGACCACCGGUAGCCGGCCUGAAAGGGCGACCGGCCACACUGGGACUGAAACACGGCCCAAACUCCUACGGGAGGCAGCAGUGGGGAAUAUUGCACAAUGGGCGAAAGCCUGAUGCAGCGACCCCCCGUGGGGGAUGAAGGCCUUCGGGUUGUAAACCCCUUUCAGCAGGGAAAAAGCGAAAGUGACGGUACCUGCAGAAGAAGCGCCCGCUAACUACCUGCCAGCAGCCGCGGUAAUACGUAAGGCGCAAGCGUUGUCCGGAAUUAUUGGGCGUAAAGAGCUCGUARGCGGUUUGUCGCGUCUGCUGUGAAAACCCGAGGCUCAACCUCGGGCCUGCAGUGGGUACGGGCAGACUARAGUGCGGUAGGGGAGACUGGAAUUCCUGGUGUAGCGGUGGAAUGCGCAGAUAUCAGGAGGAACACCGAUGGCGAAGGCAGGUCUCUGGGCCGCAACUGACGCUGARGAGCGAAAGCAUGGGGAGCGAACAGGAUUAGAUACCCUGGUAGUCCAUGCCGUAAACGUUGGGCACUAGGUGUGGGGCUCAUUCCACGAGUUCCGUGCCGCAGCAAACGCAUUAAGUGCCCCGCCUGGGGAGUACGGCCGCAAGGCUAAAACUCAAAGGAAUUGACGGGGGCCCGCACAAGCGGCGGAGCAUGCGGAUUAAUUCGAUGCAACGMGAAGAACCUUACCAAGGCUUGACAUAUACCGAAAAMUCAUGGAGACAUGGGGUCCGCAAGGGCGGUAUACAGGUGGUGCAUGGUUGUCGUCAGCUCGUGUCGUGAGAUGUUGGGUUAAGUCCCGCAACGAGCGCAACCCUCGUCCUAUGUUGCCAGCACGUCGUGGUGGGGACUCAUAGGAGACUGCCGGGGUCAACUCGGAGGAAGGUGGGGAUGACGUCAAAUCAUCAUGCCCCUUAUGUCUUGGGCUUCACGCAUGCACAAUGGCCGGUACAAAGGGCUGCGAUACCGCGAGGUGGAGCGAAUCCCAAAAAGCCGGUCUCAGUUCGGAUUGGGGUCUGCAACUCGACCCCAUGAAGUCGGAGUCGCUAGUAAUCGCAGAUCAGCAACGCUGCGGUGAAUACGUUCCCGGGCCUUGUACACACCGCCCGUCAAGUCACGAAAGUCGGUAACACCCGAAGCC
Molecule: ribosomal RNA, 1327 nt
Filed under: Actinotalea sp.
Lineage: Bacteria; Bacillati; Actinomycetota; Actinomycetes; Micrococcales; Cellulomonadaceae
Description: bacterial SSU rRNA
Source: RNAcentral